This 333-nucleotide unclassified non-coding RNA is filed under the name soil metagenome. RNAcentral's name for it is "partial contains 5.8S ribosomal RNA, internal transcribed spacer 2, and large subunit ribosomal RNA". The stretch from base 1 to 122 matches the Rfam family "5.8S ribosomal RNA", at positions 35 to 154 of the family's 154-position model. The record is from RNAcentral.
GAUGAAGAACGCAGCGAAAUGCGAUACGUAAUGUGAAUUGCAGAUCUCUCAGUGAACCAUCGAAUCUUUGAACGCACAUUGCGCCCCCUGGUAUUCCGGGGGGCAUGCCUGUUCGAGCGUCAUUUCAACCUUCAAGCUCUGCUUGGUAUUGGGCCUGCGCUGGUCUCCCAGCGGGCCUCAAAAUCAGUGGCGGUGCCAUCUGGCUUCAAGCGUAGUAACACAUCUCGCUUCUGGAGACCCAGGUGUUUGCCUGCCAGCAACCCCAUCUUCUCAGGUUGACCUCGGAUCAGGUAGGGCUACCCGCUGAACUUAAGCAUAUCAAUAAGCGGAGGA